AGUCGAGCGAUGAAACACCUUCGGGUGUGAAUUAGCGGCGAACGGGUGAGGAACACGUGAAGAAUCUGCCUUCAACUCUGGGAUAACCCCGGGAAACCGGGGCUAAUACCGGAUAUGAGCCUCGAUCGCAUGAUUGGGGCUGGAAAGUUUUUCGGUUGAAGAUGACUUCGCGGCCUAUCAGCUUGUUGGUGAGGUAAUGGCUCACCAAGGCGACGACGGGUAGCCGGCCUGAGAGGGCGACCGGCCACACUGGGACUGAGACACGGCCCAGACUCCUACGGGAGGCAGCAGUGGGGAAUAUUGGGCAAUGGAGGAAACUCUGACCCAGCGACGCCGCGUGAGGGAUGAAGGCCUUCGGGUUGUAAACCUCUUUCAGUAGGGAAGAAGCGAAAGUGACGGUACCUACAGAAGAAGCACCGGCUAACUAUGUGCCAGCAGCCGCGGUAAUACAUAGGGUGCAAGCGUUGUCCGGAAUUAUUGGGCGUAAAGAGCUCGUAGGUGGUUCGAUACGUCGGAUGUGAAAAUCAGGGGCUCAACCCCUGACCUGCAUCCGAUACGGUCGAGCUAGAGUUUGGUAGGGGAGACUGGAAUUCCUGGUGUAGCGGUGGAAUGCGCAGAUAUCAGGAGGAACACCGAUGGCGAAGGCAGGUCUCUGGGCCAAUACUGACACUGAGGAGCGAAAGCGUGGGGAGCGAACAGGAUUAGAUACCCUGGUAGUCCACGCCGUANACGGUGGGCGCUAGUUGUGCGAACCUUCCACGGUUUGUGCGACGCAGCUAACGCAUUAAGCGCCCCGCCUGGGGAGUACGAUCGCAAGAUUAAAACUCAAAGGAAUUGACGGGGCCCCGCACAAGCAGCGGAGCAUGCGGCUUAAUUCGACG
RNAcentral lists this ribosomal RNA (881 nucleotides) under uncultured bacterium. RNAcentral's name for it is "bacterial SSU rRNA". It matches the Rfam family "Bacterial small subunit ribosomal RNA", at positions 60 to 956 of the family's 1533-position model. The record is from RNAcentral.